ACACGCGCGGGAGGCGUCGACGCGCGGUCGCCUCAACCCUGGUCGCCUUCGACCGCGCCGAGCCACUGGCGAGCCCGGCCCGUCCCAAG
Molecule: non-coding RNA, 89 nt
Filed under: Chloroflexota bacterium
Lineage: Bacteria; Bacillati; Chloroflexota
Description: Chloroflexi bacterium c-di-GMP sequence
Rfam family: c-di-GMP-II-GAG riboswitch aptamer
Source: RNAcentral